Molecule: long non-coding RNA, 1415 nt
Organism: Nerophis lumbriciformis (worm pipefish)
Lineage: Eukaryota; Metazoa; Chordata; Actinopteri; Syngnathiformes; Syngnathidae
Source: RefSeq, a predicted model, not a curated record
GUUCAGGCAGCAAAUGGCGGAACAAUAUAAAGUUUCAAGAAAGACGCCUUUUGUUCCCUCCAGAGGACCUGGAGCACUGACAAACGAGGCUGGAGAUGUUUCGCAGAAGAUGAUGAUCUCGGUCUUGCUCUCGUUAAGGUUGAGGAAGUUAGCACUCAUCCAUGCUUUGAUGUCAGUCAGACAGUCCAGCAGUGGCUGGAGUGCGACCUGUCCUGUGGCCUUAAGAGGUCCUGGGUUGGAUCCUGCGCUCGGGAUCUUUCUGUGUGGAGUUUGCAUGUUCUCCCCGUGACUGCGUGGGUUCCCUCCGGGCUCUCCGGCUUCCUCCCACCUCCCAAGACAUGCACCAGGGGAUAAGCUCCUCCCACCUACAAAGACAUGCACCUGGGGAUAGGCUCCUCCCACCUCCAAAGACAUGCAUCUGGGGAUAGGUUGAUUGGCAACACUAAAUUGGCCCUAGUGUGUGAAUGUUGUCUAUCUGUGUUGGCCCUGUGAUGAGGUGGCGACUUGUCCAGGGUGUACCCCGCUUUCCGCCCGAAUGCAGCUGAGAUAGGCUCCAGCACCCCCCGCGACCCGGAAAGGGACAAGCGGUAGAAAAUGGAUGGAUGGAUGGAUGGAACACUGAAACAUUUGACAACCAUACUUAAAAGGUAAAACAAACAGUUACCAAGUUCUGUGCAAAUAAAUGAAAUGCAUUCAAGUAAAGAUGAGAUUAGUAAUGAUUAAUAAUAAGAAUCGGCACCUCCAAGGCCGAGUCCAUGGUUCUGGCCCGGAUAAGGGUGGAGUGCCAUCUCCGGGUUGGGGAGGAGAUCUUGCCCCAAGUGGAGAAGUUCAAGUACCUCGGAGUCUUUUUCACGAGUGAGGGAAGAGUGGAUGGUGAGAUCGGUGCGGCGUCUUCAGUAAUGCAGACGCUGUAUCGAUCCGUUGUUAAGAAGGAGCUGAGCCGGAAGGCAAAGCUCUCAAUUUACCGGUCGAUCUACGUUCCCAUCCUCACCUAUGGUCAUGAGCUUUCGGUUAUGACCGAAAGGUCAAGAUCACGGGUACAAGCGGCCGAAAUGAGUUUCCUCUGCCGGGUAGCGGGUCUCUCCCUUAGAGAUAGGGUGAGAAGCUCUGUCAUCCGGGAGGAACUCAAAGUAAAGCCGCUGCUCCUCAACAUGGAGAGGAGCCAGAUGAGGUGGUUCAGGCAUCUGGUCAGGAUGCCACCCGAACGCCUCCCUAGGGAAGUGUUUAGGGCACGUCCGACCGGUAUGAGGCCACGGGGGAAGACUCAGGACACGUUGGGAAGACUAUGUCUCCCGGCUGGCCUGGGAACGCCUCGGGAUCCCCCGGGAGGACCUGGACGUAGUGGCUGGGGAGAGGGAAGUCUGGGCUUCCCUGCUUAGGCUCCUGCCCCCGCGACCCCACCUCGGAUAAGCAGA